CCUACGGGGUGCAGCAGGGAGGAAUAUUGGUCAAUGGCCGUAAGGCGGAACCAGCCAAGUCGCGGGAAGGAAGAAGGAGCUAUGGUUGGUAAACUUCUUUUAUAGGGGAAUAAAGGUAUCCACGUGUGGAUAUUUGCAUGUACCCUAUGAAUAAGCAUCGGCUAACUCCGUGCCAGCAGCCGCGGUAAUACGGAGGAUGCGAGCGUUAUCCGGAUUUAUUGGGUUUAAAGGGUGCGUAGUUGUUUUUUUAAGUCAGCGGUGAAAGUUUGUGGCUCAACCAUAAAAUUGCCGUUGAAAUUGGAAGCCUUGAGUGUGUUUGAGGUAGGCGGAUGGCGUGUGGUAGCGGUGAAAUGAAUAG
Molecule: ribosomal RNA, 358 nt
Filed under: uncultured bacterium
Lineage: Bacteria
Description: partial 16S ribosomal RNA
Rfam family: Bacterial small subunit ribosomal RNA
Source: RNAcentral